UUCGUUAAUGGCGAACACGGUUUCAGGACCGUCAAUCGUAACCGGAUUGUUAAUAAUGGUUUUGACGUAAAUGUCUCGGCAGAAAUUAGCCCAAUUCACCACAGUAAACCAACUUGCAAUAUUAAGUUCAUGCUUAAUUGUUUUUAGUGGUUCGUUAAUGGACCACCAAUACAGAAACUGCAGUUAUUAUACAUAAGGAUAUGUGGCUAUUCGAGAAGAAAGACGAUUCAUUUCUAAUGGAGUGACACCUCCGACAUCGCCGAGCAGAGUUCAAUUCCAAGCAUAUAGAUCUCGGUGCUGCGAUGAUUUAACAAAGGAACAAUUGCGGCCACACUGACAGACAUGAGCUUGAGCUAAAAGUCCAUAUCUUUUUAACCGUUCAAUUAGUCCGUCAUGGUCAGUGAAAAUUGGAAAGUCGUCUGAUAAGUGAAAUGGAGGACAUUGCAUGAUAUCCAUGUCAGAAUUUUAAAAAAAUGAGAAACUAGACAAAAGAAGACGAUGGUUUCAAUAAAAAUUGGAAGAGAAUAAAAGCUGGACAACUGAAGAUGAUUGUUUCGAUUCCAAAUUGCUGCAGAAUAAUAAUUAAAACCGGAUAAAAUUAUAAAUAAUUGAUCUGUCACUCCUUGCAGAAAUCCCUAAACUCCUCUGGGAUUAUCCUAAUAUAUACAUCACAAACCGGAUUUUUACUGGAAUCGAAUCCUUCACAAAAAUAUUGACCACUUUCUGAAAAUGGUAAAUGUUUUUCGAACUUUCUUAGAACCCCCGCAGUGCCAUAAUCUGUGCUGAAGAACACCAGACAAAUAUAAACACCACCAAGAAUCCAUGUCGUUGGGUUUUGUCCAUUGGCCAAACCUCAAAGACCUUCAGCAAAAUGAUUAAACAGGAUAUUUGUUUCAAAUCUCUUUUAAAGAAUCUCACGAACUGCUUCCUUUCAGUAUUCCGGGAUAAUAGACGGUCCAUGGAUACCUUGGAAUCUAUUAUCCACAUGUCCACCCAGGUAGAAUAAUUUUCACCGACGAAUGGACGACGUACCGUCAUUUGCAAAAUCAACGUUUCCAAUAUUUCACGGUGAACCAUUUUCUAAAUCAUUUGUUGACGAAGGCCAAAGGUGUCCACACAAAUUAUUGUGGACGCAUGCUAAACGCAAAUAUCGACAUAUAUUUAUGGUUCCUCUUCCAAAUUCUUCCCCACAUUUUGUAGAAAUAAACAGAAAGAAGUUGAAAAUGUAUUUUUGACAAAUGAAUGAUUGACCAAAGACCCAGGAAUUAAAAAGACUCACACACAAAUAUUGGUAAAUUGCAAGAAACUUUAUUAUUUCUCUGAGGAAACGAAAAGAAUUCAGAAACAUGUCGUCAACAGUAUCAAGAAUAGACAUGUCUAGCCUCUGACCGUCUGAUUGACUGACCUCGUGAAAUUUAUUCUAAUCCUCACGUGACAUGGCAAGUAACAAUCUUUUGCUGGCAAUCAUAUAAAGUGAAUUGUUCCAAUUAUCUGUGAAGUUGAACAUAAAAAUAUAUAUUUAUAUUAGAUUAUGAUGUUGUCCAAAUACACAUAUACACAUAUACACAAAUACACAAACAUGCAAAUAUAUUUAUAUAUAUAUAUUUAUACAUAUCUACUCACACAUAUAGAUGUGUACACACACACGUUUAUAUAUUGACAUACACAUAUAUACAUACAUAGAUCUGUGUGUGUAUAUGUGUGCAGGCAUUUGUAUUCAUUUCUGACAUGGUAAGCUGUGCUAUUUAAAGUAUUUAUUGAUAUCAGUGUGUUCAUCUUGUGGGCUGGCUGUUUUAUAUUUAGUCACUAUUACCAGAAUCAGCAAAUUAGUUGACUAUAAAAUGAAGUACGAUAUCCAUACGUUAUAGAUAAACCAUUGCUAUUAUAAGUAAACGAGUUGAUACCAAAUUACUAAUAAUAGUUGUUAAAUAUCUCUUAAAUCACGCGCAACCAGAAUAAAAGUAGGAGAAGAUUUUUAAUCACAUAUAUUGUUCAAGAUGAGCUAUGUCUGUAGCACGCAGAUAUGACGGUCAUUGUUGGAACAUUUUGGUCAAGGAAUUUUCGAGGCACGGCCGGUUUAAAAGCCUAACAAGAACAUCAACAAUAACCAUGGCUAAAUAUAUGGCGUUCUCGUUUUAGCACUUACAUUUGUCUGCGCAAACACCAGGCAGUCUUAGUGUAAUUCGUGUUUAAAGACUCAAAUCUUGAUACCUUGAAGAUGAGUAGCUCACGGUGAACUGCUUUAAAAUGAUGAGGUCAUCCUAAAACUGACUAAAAUCUAUAUACAUCAAAAGAUACAUGGUGUUGCGGAAAAGAAGUGACCUUUCGACUAGAAGACUCUGAAAAUGAGAGCAAGACAAUCUGUUUGAUAUAAAGCCACCCAAAUUACACACUUAAAUGUAAUCCCUUACCUCUGUCCAGUAUAGCUGCAAACCUCCUUUUUAAGAAGCCAAUAUAUAACUUGGGAAAAUUUUAUUUAUAUUUGCCGGAAACAAAAAUUCAAACAAUUUCUGAAGUAAAUAUUCUACGAUAAUAAAAAUAUAUAAAAUUAUUUCUUUGGCAAAUAUUAAAAAAAAAAGAAGUUUACUAAGUCAUAUAAUUAUGUUGAAUGUAAACAAUCAAGAGAAGAGAUGGCACCCGUCAAAAGGUUUAUUUUAGAAACUUCUGGAGAAAUUAAUUUUAAAAAACUGAAAAAGAAAUCUAUAACUACUCAAAUUUCAAGAGGAGAUAUCUAUGUUGGUGAGUGGAUAUGCAAAUAAAAAC
Molecule: long non-coding RNA, 2763 nt
Organism: Octopus bimaculoides (California two-spot octopus)
Lineage: Eukaryota; Metazoa; Mollusca; Cephalopoda; Octopoda; Octopodidae
Source: RefSeq, a predicted model, not a curated record